UGGGGAAUAUUGCACAAUGGGGGAAACCCUGAUGCAGCGACGCCGCGUGAACGAAGAAGGUAUUCGUAUCGUAAAGUUCUGUCCUAUGGGAAGAUAAUGACAGUACCAUAGAAGAAAGCUCCGGCUAAAUACGUGCCAGCAGCAGCGGUAAUACGUAUGGAGCGAGCGUUGUCCGGAAUUAUUGGGCGUAAAGGGUACGCAGGCGGUUUAAUAAGUCGAAUGUUAAAGAUCGGGGCUCAACCCCGCAAAGCAUUGGAAACUGAUAAACUUGAGUAGUGGAGAGGAAAGUGGAAUUCCUAGUGUAGUGGUGAAAUACGUAGAUAUUAGGAGGAAUACCAGUAGCGAAGGCGACUUUCUGGACACAAACUGACGCUGAGGUACGAAAGCGUGGGGAGCAAACAGG
RNAcentral lists this ribosomal RNA (403 nucleotides) under bacterium. RNAcentral describes it as "partial 16S ribosomal RNA". It matches the Rfam family "Bacterial small subunit ribosomal RNA", at positions 355 to 776 of the family's 1533-position model. The record is from RNAcentral.